AAAGGAAUAGACGGGGGCCCGCACAAGCGGUGGAGCAUGUGGUUUAAUUCGAUGCAACGCGAAGAACCUUACCGGGAUUUGACAUCCCCUGCGAUCUUUCGAAAGAAGGAGUUCUCUUCGGAGACAGGGAGACAGGUGGUGCAUGGUUGUCGUCAGCUCGUGUCGUGAGAUGUUAGGUUAAGUCCUGCAACGAGCGCAACCCCUAUUUUUAGUUGCUAACACUUCGGGUGAGCACUCUAAAGAGACUGCCGGUGAUAAACCGGAGGAAGGUGGGGAUGACGUCAAAUCAUCAUGCCCUUUAUAUCCCGGGCUACACACGUGCUACAAUGGCUCAAACAAAGGGAAGCGACCUGGCGACAGGUAGCGGAUCCCGUAAAAUGGGUCACAGUUCGGAUUGCAGGCUGCAACUCGCCUGCAUGAAGUAGGAAUCGCUAGUAAUCGCAGGUCAGCAUACUGCGGUGAAUACGUUCCCGGGCCUUGUACACACCGCCCGU
Molecule: ribosomal RNA, 494 nt
Filed under: uncultured bacterium
Lineage: Bacteria
Description: bacterial SSU rRNA
Rfam family: Bacterial small subunit ribosomal RNA
Source: RNAcentral